Long non-coding RNA from Gallus gallus (chicken), 1985 nucleotides. NCBI's taxonomy places the organism in Eukaryota, Metazoa, Chordata, Aves, Galliformes, Phasianidae. The record is from Ensembl.
UGCACACUGCCCUGCUUGUGAUACACAGAACAGAGAGUGCAGUAACAUCACACCUUCUGGGUUCCUAUCUCCUGUGGCUUUAUCUGAUACACAAAGGAGCAUAUAAGGGAGCAUAAAAACGGGGGGGGGGGGGAGAAUGGCUGUUUACAAGGGUGGAUAGUAAUAGGACAAAGGGGGAAUGGUUUUAAACUGAGACAGGGCAGGUUUAGGUUAGAUAUUAGGAGGAAGUUUUUCACCCAGAGGGUGGUGACGCACUGAACAGGUUGCCCAAGGAGGCUGUGGAUGCCCCAUCCCUGGAGGCAUUGAAGGCCAGGCUGGAUGUGGCGCUGGGCAGCCUGGUCUGCUGGUUGGCGACCCUGCAUAUAGCAGGGGGUUGGAACAAGAUGAUCUCUGAGGUCCUUUUCAACCCAGGCCAUUCUAUGAUUAGAAGGAUGAGGAGGCAACGCAUAGCAACACAUUGGUGUCAAGAAAACAGUCUGUAUGUUGGCAUAGACAGGGAACUCUUCUUGUGGACUUUGAAUCUCAGUUUCAGUCAGACCAACUAUACCUUUCGGAAUGAGCUGCUGACAGCUAGUUUAAACUGUAGCUCACUGUUUACCUCAAGCCGAUCACUUUAGUAAACACCGUGUUCCUUUUUCCCAAGGUAUUGAUUGGCAUCUCCUAUGUUUUCCCAAAUACACUUUGUAGGGAGUAGAGAGGAAUGAAUUAUCUUUUAUCAGGUAACUGUAUUUGCAAUUGUUGUAGCUGAUAGUGGCAACAUGUAGGAAAGUUGAACUUGGAGGAGGACUAGUAAACAGAUUAUCUAAUAAAAACAGCAUGAAGCCAAGGAAAUUGCAUAAAGCCUAUGAGUGCAUAUAGUGUAAAACUGGCAGGAAUAUGUUGCAUCUCAAGAGAUCUCACAGAGUCCAGGGAAUAAAGAAAAUCUACAAGGAAGACAGUUUUUUUCCUUUUCUUUAUCUUUUCUUUCUUUUCCUGCAGGGUUCUAGUGAUCAUCCUUAGAAAGGUGAGGCUGUGCCUAUAUUCCCCUUUGGAAAUACAAGGCAGUUUGUCCAGUGGCUAGCACAGCAGAAGCUGGGGAGGUUUUCAUCCUUUAUUGAUGGGUGUUCAGAGUUGCGACUGGGCAGUUAAGACUCGAAGGAGCUGCAUAUAGACACCCCAAAGCAACUACCCUUCUUCCCCCAAGCCAUCUCCAGACUGCAGACUCUUCUGAUACAUCCCUUAUUACAGUAAUCCAUAUUGCUGUCAUCUCUGCUGGAUGGUCUUGUGAAGAAUUCUCAGCUGACUCCAGGUUUUUGAAAAUAGAGAAUUGCAUUAGCACUUGUAUCCUGAGACAGUCCCUGUGCCAUGGUCUACACAGCCUAAUUCUAGGGGAAAAAAAUAAGUAUUUCAAAUAAUAAUAUACAAAACAGAGCAUGUUAAAAGGACUUACAGCCCUCUAUGUUUCCUGUAUAGCUCCUGCUAAUUUGUGCUCUUUGACACUAGGGAGAAUCCAUACUUGCCUCUAAUGUUUAAGACUUCAUGAUGUAAUUGCUGAUGGGUGAAAUAUGUACUAUUUCCUACAUAGAGAGUCUGACUCUCUCUGCACCAACACCAGCAAUCCACUGCCAGGAUUCCUAUGCUAGCUGCUCUUUUUACAGUUUAAAACAGAAGGUGAGCAGUUCAAAUCAGAGGAGCUGGAGUCCCAGUCCUGAAGAACUCAGACUAAAAAGUGACUUCCAAUAGCAAAUGAGAGGUAGAGUACGAAAAGAUAAAUUAUUCAGUAAUAAAUGUUACACACUUACAAUGCACAAGUUGUAAUGCAUCUCAGUUGCUCUUGUAAUUCGGUACAGUCAUUUGCCUAAUAUGGUAAAUAUGCCAUAUGGUAUACUAAUAAAGAAAGCGUUAGAACAAAGACAUGAUGAUUUCUAAGUUUUUAUUUCUAAUUUUGUAUGCAACUGUAAGCUGCAUUCCAGCUGUCCUAAAAUACAAGCAGUAGAAGAACAGAG